RNAcentral lists this ribosomal RNA (2959 nucleotides) under Candidatus Omnitrophota bacterium. Its description in RNAcentral is "23S ribosomal RNA". It matches the Rfam family "Bacterial large subunit ribosomal RNA". The record is from RNAcentral. Lineage: Bacteria; Pseudomonadati; Candidatus Omnitrophota.
GGUCAAGCUACUAAGGGUCUAUGCACGGAUGACUAGGUUAGGUGAGGCGAGGAAGGACGGGGGUAAACUCCGAUAUUUUCUCGGGGAGCCGCAAACAGGCAUUGAUCCGGGAGAUUCCGAAUGGGGAAACCCAUCCCGAUUAAUAUCGGGAUACUCUACUGCUGAAUCCAUAGGUGGUAGAGAGUAACACCAGGGGAAGUGAAACAUCUCAGUACCCUGAGGAAAAGAAAUCUGCGUGAGAUUCCCCCAGUAGCGGCGAGCGAAAAGGGAAGAGCCUAAAUCCGCCAAGUUUCUUGGCGGAGGUUGUGGGAUCUCGUUAAAGGGAUUGUGGAGGGAUAGCAGAAGUAUCUGGAAAGAUACGCCAUAGAGAGUGAAAGCCUCGUAUGCGAAAUCCGGAAGCACCCUUGAGAUAUCCCAAGUACCACGGGACACGGGAAAUCCUGUGGGAAUCUGGGCCGACCACGGUCUAAGGCUAAAUACUCCACCUAAACCGAUAGUGCACAAGUACCGUGAGGGAAAGUUGAAAAGAACCCCGGUGAGGGGAGUGAAAUAGAACCUGAAAUCAUAGACCCACAAGCGGUGGAAGGGCUAUGAGCCGAUCUUGCGUCGGCUAACGCCUGACCACGUACCUUUUGCAUAAUGGUCCGACGAGUUACUAUGCGGUGCGAGUUUAAGUCCGACAAGGUCUGUCGGACGGAGACGUAGCGAAAGCGAGUCCUAACUGGGCGAUUGAGUACUGUAUAGUAGACCCGAAACCGAGUGAUCUACCCAUGGCCAAGGUGAAGUCCGCCGAAAGGCGGAUGGAGGCCUGAACCCGUCACUGUUGAAAAAGUGUGGGAUGAGCUGUGGGUAGGAGUGAAAGGCUAAACAAACUCGGAGAUAGCUGGUUCUCCCCGAAAUAUUUCUAGGGAUAGCCUCGGGUAAUUGUUUAGUGGGGGUAGAGUGCUGAAUGGGUUACAGGACCUUACUAGGUUGCUGAGCCCAACCAAACUCCGAAUACCACUAAAUUUAUCCCGGGAGUAAGACAAUGGGGGCUAAGCUCCAUUGUCAAGAGGGAAUCAGCCCAGACCACCAGCUAAGGUCCCUAAGCAUAGGCUAAGUGGUAAAGGAUGUGAUUUCGCUUAGACAACCAGGAUGUUGGCUUAGAGGCAGCCAUCAUUUAAAGAGUGCGUAACAGCUCACUGGUCGAGCGAUUUCGCGCCUAAAAUAAUCGGGGCUUAAGCCUAUUACCGAAGCUGUGGGUUUCUGAUGUUAUCAUCGGAAGCGGUAGGGGAGCGUUCUCCACGGGGUGAAGUCGUACCGUAAGGAGCGAUGGACUGUGGAGAAGUGAUUAUGUCGGAAUGAGUAGCGAAAAUGCCGGCGAGAAACCGGCACGCCGAAAGCCUAAGGUUUCCUGGGGAAGGUUAAUCCGCCCAGGGUUAGUCGAGCCUAAGCCGAGGCCAAGUGGCGUAGGUGAUGGGUGAUCCGUUAAUAUUCGGAUACCAGCUAAGUAGCGUUAAUACUUUCUCUCUGACGCGAGGCGUGUUUAGGGCGGCGCGGUGGUGGACGUCCGCGUUCCUGCUAUGGCAACGUAGCGGGAGGAUCCUGAGGAUUCCGAGGGAGAAGUGUGCUAAAACAUGCUGCCAAGAAAAGGAGAGGAAGGAGUUACUUAGCUGUUCGUACCGGAAUCCGACACAGGUAGGCCACCAGAGAAUGGUAAGGCGCUCGAGAUAACCCUCGUUAAGGAACUCGGCAAAAUAGCUCCGUAAGUUCGCAAGAAGGAGUCCCUGGAUCAUACGAUUCAGGGCACAGUAAAGUGGCCCGGGUGACUGUUUAGCAAAAACACAGCACUCUGCAAACUCGAAAGAGGAUGUAUAGGGUGUGACACCUGCCCGGUGCUGGAAGGUUAAGGGGAAGAGUUACUCCAGGGUUUCCUCGGGGAAAGCUCUGAACCGAAGCCCCAGUAAACGGCGGCCGUAACUAUAACGGUCCUAAGGUAGCGAAAUUCCUUGUGGGGUAAGUUCCCACGCGCACGAAUGGUGUAACAACUUGGGCGCUGUCUCAACGAGGGACUCGGCGAAAUUGUAGUGGCGGUGAAGAUGCCGUCUACCCGCAUCAAGACGAAAAGACCCCGGAACCUUUACUGCAACCUGCUAUUGGAUUUUGGUCCAAUAUGUGUAGAAUAGGUGGGAGGCUGUGAAGCGAAGGCGCUAGCUUUCGCAGAGCCGCAAUGUGAAAUACCACCCUUAUUGUACUAAGAUUCUAAUUCCGACCCAUGAAACUGGGCGGAAGACAGUGGCAGGCGGGCAGUUUGACUGGGGCGGUUCCCUUCUAAAGGAUAACGAAGGGGCCCAAAGGUUGGCUCAAGGCGGUCGGCAAUCGCCUGUGGAGUGUAAGCGCAUAAGCCAGCUUAACUGUGAGUCCGACAGGACGAGCAGAUACGAAAGUAGGGGCUAGUGAUCCGGUGGUGGAAAGUGGGAUGGCCAUCGCUCAACGGAUAAUAGGUACUCCGGGGAUAACAGGCUUAUCGGGCUCGAGAGUUCACAUCGACAGCCCGGUUUGGCACCUCGAUGUCGGCUCAUCCUAUCCUGGGGCUGAAUAAGGUCCCAAGGGUCCGGCUGUUCGCCGGUUAAAAGGGUACGCGAGCUGGGUUCAGAACGUCGUGAGACAGUUCGGUCUCUAUCUGAUGUGGGCGUAAGGAUACCUGAAGGGGAGUUCUCCUCAGUACGAGAGGACCAGGAGAAACGAACCGCUGGUGUUCCAGUUGUCCUGCCAAGGGCAAAGGCUGGGUAGCCACGUUCGGAAGGGAUAAGCGCUGAAAGCAUCUAAGUGCUAAGCCCACCCCAAGAAUAGGUAUCCCUUCCGCCAUUAACCGUGGCGGAUGAAGGCUUCCCGUAGACUACGGGAUUGAUAGGUGCAGGGUGUAAGACCCGUAAGGGUUUUAGCCAAUGCGUACUAAUCAGCCAAGCGGCUUGACCAU